ACCGCAGACAUCAUUUCUACUACAGUGGCGGAGCCGUACAGGACCUGUUUCACUGCAGGGGGAUCCAAAACAAGCCCCGUGGAGCAGCAGCCAGAGCUACAGCAGCCGCAAGACACUGUUUCUCUCCCUCUGCCCCCCCUUCCCCACGCAACCCCAGAUCCAUUUACACUUUACAGAGGAUCGUGCAGCCAAUCACCAGGGUGGUCCAUUCAAGCUGCAGAUUUGUCUGUCAUCUUGGGACAGCAGGCUCGUCCUCCGCAGCCACUGCAGGAAAGUGCGUCACUCAUCAGGUCACAGAGAGCGCUGGUGGACGUCUCUCCUUGCCCCAAGAUCUUCGGUGGAAGUCCACGGGACUUGGUGUCUGUGCCGUUCAAAGUAUAUAUGAACUCGCCAGGAGGCAUAAUGCGUCACCAUUUAAUUCUGGGCCACCCUAAAGGAUGACACCCAGCUUCAGAGACCACCUCUUGGACAUCAGCCCUGAGAUCCAGUGUUUUAGCUCCCCAUUGUCUGAAAUCCGUUUCUGACCGAGUUGGAGCUGCCUUAGGCUUAGGCAUUCAAUGGCCAGGACCAUGUUGCAGCUCCCCACCUUUUGUCCCUUUCAGAGCAGCAGCUCGCUCUGAGCUCUUGUUGAGUCUUUUACACAGAUAUGCUAGAAAACAGGCACCAACCCAUUCUUUCCAUCUUGGCAUUUUCCCACAAGCCUAGUCCUGGGAUGACCUGGAGCGGAGAGGCAGUGGAGGAUAAAUUCAUCUUGUACAGACUUGUUCCUGCUAGCUCUAGCCUGUCUCUCGCCACAGAUCUAGCUUUUAAAUCCUCAAGUGAUUGGUUUUGCGUAGGAAUGUGUGGAUUGUUGGAUUGCAAUAAUUUUCUCCCUGAAUUUCUAGUGUUUAUAUAAGCAGAUGUAUAUAAAAAAAGUUCUGUCAUUGGUGUAAACAGCAGGGCCUAUUUUUAAUAGUUACAGGUGCUUAAAGAUGGUGCAGAAUAAAAAUGUGUUUUUUUAUUGCAAGUUGCAGCACAACCAAAAGUCUAUAUUAAUGUUUUGCCAGGAAAGGGCCAACGCGGAAAAUUUGCAACAAAGACGAACCUAGAAUAGAACCAGUGCAAACAGAAGCUGACAAAUAUAUGCCCCAUGUUGGGAGUUCAGCCCCUGGAAUGUUAUGUAGGACAAAAGGAAUGGAAGAGGUAUUUCAGUAACAUUUUGUUCUGUGUCAAAAACCUUGUGAAAUAUAAAUCUGCUGUGUAUUGGAGAAUGGAUACAGCGAUCGAUUCAGGUUGAAUAGCUUUCAUUUAACUAGAAUAUCCCACAGAAAGCCGUUCUUGUUCUGACAACCAUAGUUUUGUUUUUCUUGACUUAAAGAAAACUGAAUUCAUGUUUACAUUUUUUAUGGGAUUGUUUUAUGGACAGAGACACAGGUCAAAUCCCAUCUCAGCACAGUGGCUAUUGUUAUAGCAAAUGGAAACAUUUCUAAAUGAAAUAAAAACCAUUUCUAAGCCAUGGCCUGUGGCCCAUAGUAAUCAUACUACAUUGGUGUUAUGAAACCGUUUGCAACUAUCAAUAAUUCAGUCGUAGAUGUGCUUUUUUUCUAAUUCUGUUUUUAAAAAAUAUUCUAGUCUCUUGCCAACACACAUACCCAUGCAUAUACUUCACUGAUUUGCAUAGUAGAGAAGGAAGAAUAUGAAUAUGUAUAAUAGGAGUCAACUUUAUUUUGGACUUUCUGGAACAGAUCACUUUUUUUUUCCUCCACAUGAUGGCUCCCUGAAUUGCUUCCAAUUAUUGAACUUUCAUAAUUGCCCACAACUCUGUCUGUGUCCUUCUAACGGUCUUGCCAUGUCAACCAACCCAGCCAAAAGCUAGUAGCCAGUGAUAGUGGUUUAAGAAGCUGGACUUCAGCAUACCCCUGCCAAGGGUAUUCUGUUAUUCUCCAUUUGUACACUUCUCAAGAAGAAAUUAGGUGCUUGUUGUUGAGUUUUUUCAAUCCCCAGAUCAUUCUGGCAUUGAUCUUGGACUCAUUUGCAGACUAUUACUCCUGAAACAUUUUGGCUCUCUGUGACCUAUUGUUCAGUAGAAUCUGAGGUUUUCCAGGUACCUCAAAGACUUAAAUUUUAGGGAAAUUGAUCAAAAGAAAACUUCUCUAGGAAUAAAUGUCUUUUAGGUUUUAGCUCUAUUCUACCUUCAAGGUUCUUACCUGGAUGCCUUAUAUUUUAUUUCCUUUCUGUAUUUAUACUGAUUUGAUACUUGGGUUUACUGUUUUCUGUUUGGAAACAGCUUUUAAAAAGUAACACAGAGCUUAAAAAUAUAAAACAGUUCCAACCUGCUCCAUUCUUACCUUGACUAUCUUUUCUGCCUUAUUGCUAGACCACUGCUUCUCUUUCUGCUUCUCUUCUGGGAUUUUAUCUGCUCAGCAAUUCUAGUGUGUGAUUCUGAAUUCUAUGGUUUGAGUUUCCUGACCAACUUCUCUUUGCAUCUGAGUCUAUUUCCUGUGCGUAGAGCUCUGGCAUUCCAUUCUCAGAUCCCAGUCAAAAGUGAAACUUUUAGUGCUAAUAAGAUUAGUCCUUGCGACAUGCGACACUAUUAAUUCUUUACUCUCCAUUUCUCACUCCAUUGUUGUUUCUCAAAGACCAACUUUUCUUUGUUAUUAAGAACGUCAUUAGGAGAUGGUAACUACACUUAAUGUGAUCAUUUCACAGUGUGUACAAAUCUUGAACCAUGAUGUUGUACACCUGAAGCUAAUGUAAUGUUUUAUGUCAGUGAUACCUCAAUUUUAAAAAAAAAGAGGAGAAAAAAAACCCACUUCAUUUUGGUGUCACUUCCUUAAGACCUCCUGGAUUUUUGUUUUACUGAUACACUCCACAGCUUCAAACUGCAGGAACCAUCAACAGGUCUUUGACAAAUUAGUUGUCCCUACACAUGGUUUACAAUAUUACACUUGCUGUUUAAAAGUAAUUAAGCUUCUCUCAGUGUUCUUUGCUGUGGGUCAGGAACUUUAUUUGCUGUGCCAUCCAACACAGAAGUUAAUCACAAAUGGGUCCUCUGAACCAAAUAAUUAAAAAUAGAGCAAAGUUUCUGAACCAGGCGGUUGGCAGAAAAGUCUGUACUUCCAUCUGUGCAUGGUUAGGAAAAUAUUUCAUGAUACUGAAAUAGCGUCAGCCUUGCUCUCUUUUGUGUGAGAGUGUAUCUGUGUGACUGCAUGUCAUUCAGUGCUCUGAAUGUUUGUUUGAAAGUUAGCUAAACAUAUAUAUAUAUAUGUAUGUAUAAAAGUCACUGGCAAAGAAACAGGAAAGCAAAUCCAGGUGUUCUGUGCAUACAUUCUUUAUUUGCUGGUUUCUGUGAAGGGAUAAUGGUCUUGCUGUUGCUUUUCUGUUUAGUGAAAGUUUUCUCUAAGCAUGUGCUUCAGAAACUUAAAGAGCAUUACAUUUUUUUUUUUUUUUUUUUUUGCGGUACGCGGGCCUCUCACUGUUGUGGCCUCUCCCGUUGCGGAGCACAGGCUCUGGACGCGCAGGCUCAGCGGCCAUGGCUCACAGGCCCAGCCGCUCCGCAGCAUGUGGGAUCUUCCCGGACCUGGGCACGAAUCCGCGUCCCCUGCGUCGGCAGGUGGACUCUCAACCACUGCGCCACCAGGGAAGCCCAGGCAUUACAUUUUGACUUGAAAAUCUUUACGUCUUUUUUUUUUUUUUCUUUACAUCUUUUGAUUCUCUGUCUAUGAAUAGCCUUUGCUAAUAGCUCUUAGGAACUGUUCUUAGGUGAAAUGCUGAUGGAUCUGUUUCAGUUUGGAAUAUGGACGGUUAGGAGUUUCUGCUCUCUAGAAGGAGACGUAUGCCUGGAAUAUAUAUCAAACUCAUAAACACUUUAUGACAGAGGUACAGACAUGCAAGUGACUGAUUUUGAGAGAAAUGUAAUCCUUCAGUUUGGAUUUUCCUUUGUUUUCACCAGUAAUCGGUAACUUUCCAAAUAUGUUCAGUUUUGGCCAGUUCUAAGCCGAUGCUAUGACUUUAAAAGUAUAUUUUCUAUUUAUAAGGUUCUAAUUGCUAUAUAAAAUAAAGAUUAUUCCCCUCUGGUAUUUCUCUAUUGCAACUCUCUCUCUUUAUCCCUGGAAAAGUCUUAUUUUUUCGUUGAUUUUCUUUCUCCUGGGAGAGCCACUGUAUUAAAUAACAACUAAUGCUCAAUAAAUACACCAAAGGGAGAUUUAAGAAUUAUUAAGAGAAAAAAAAAAAAAAAGGAAAUGUCUUAAUUUUCUUCCUUUGGCUCCGAAACAUAUGUAUUUCUCAGAGUUACCAGUUUCUUUAUGCUUCCGGACACUUAGAGCCUAGGCAUACUCUUAAUACUGUGAUAAUAGAAUUAAAUACUGAAAUUAAGAGCUGUGGAUUGACCAUGCUCACAUAAAUUGAAAUUAAGGAAGGAGGAAUAUCUUCGAUAAAUGUCAUCAUUAAUGUAGCAGCUAAUUCUUGAGUUUAGCUAUGAAGAUCAACUAAAGUUGAUGAUAGUUUGAUUAUUGAGGUACUUUGUCAUUCAUGAAACUCAGAAUUUAAUAGUUUGAUCAUUUGGGCAGUUUGUCAUUCAUGAUGUUUAAGAGACCGUACACAUCUUUCUGUCCAACCUCCUGAAUUUACAUUGAACUUCAUUUUGUUCAUUUCUUGCAAACCUGUGAAUGCCCAGAGGGAACAAUAAAGUUGAAUAAAUUGUGGCCUGUGGCUUCAA
Molecule: long non-coding RNA, 4696 nt
Filed under: Phocoena sinus (vaquita)
Lineage: Eukaryota; Metazoa; Chordata; Mammalia; Artiodactyla; Phocoenidae
Description: lncRNA (ENSPSNG00000008564.1)
Source: RNAcentral